This 69-nucleotide transfer RNA is filed under the name Trachidermus fasciatus (roughskin sculpin). Its description in RNAcentral is "tRNA-Arg". It matches the Rfam family "tRNA". Rfam says of the family: Transfer RNA (tRNA) molecules are approximately 80 nucleotides in length. Lineage: Eukaryota; Metazoa; Chordata; Actinopteri; Perciformes; Cottidae. The record is from RNAcentral.
AGACAGCUAGUUUAAGAAAAACCUUUGAUUUCGGCUCAAAAGCUUGUGGUUAGAAUCCAUAGCUGCCUA